CGCGUAGAUAACCUGUCUUCAUGUCUGGAAUAAUACGCCGAAAGGGGUACUAAUACCGGAUAUUCUUGCUUUAUAUAAGUUUUGCAAGCAAAGGUGGCCUCUGACAUAAGCUACUGCAUAAAGAGGGGUCUGCGUACCAUUAGCUUGUAGGUGGGGUAAUGGCCUACCUAGGCGACGAUGGUUAGCGGGUCUGAGAGGAUGAUCCGCCACACUGGCACUGGAAUACGGGCCAGACUCCUACGGGAGGCAGCAGUGAGGAAUAUUGCGCAAUGGGGGCAACCCUGACGCAGCGACGCCGCGUGAGCGAGGAAGGCCUUCGGGUCGUAAAGCUCUGUCAAAGGGAAAGAAAUGUAUAAUGGUUAAUACCUGUUAUAUUUGACGGUACCCUUAAAGGAAGCACCGGCUAACUCCGUGCCAGCAGCCGCGGUAAUACGGAGGGUGCAAGCGUUGUUCGGAAUUACUGGGCGUAAAGGGCGCGUAGGCGGUUUGAUAAGUCAGAU
This 500-nucleotide ribosomal RNA is filed under the name uncultured sulfate-reducing bacterium. Its description in RNAcentral is "bacterial SSU rRNA". It matches the Rfam family "Bacterial small subunit ribosomal RNA", at positions 114 to 593 of the family's 1533-position model. The record is from RNAcentral.